AAUCAACGCUGGCGGCGUGCCUAACACAUGCAAGUCGCGCGCGAAAGGGGGGCAACUCCCGAGUAAAGCGGCGAACGGGUGAGUAACACGUGGGUAAUCUACCUUCGAGUGGGGAACAACACCGGGAAACUGGUGCUAAUUCCGCAUGACAUCGUCGGGGCUUCGGUUCUGACGCUCAAAGCUGGGGAUCGCAAGACCUAGCGCUUGAAGAUGAGCCCGCGUCCGAUUAGCAGUUGGCGGGUAAUGGCCCACCAAGGCUUCGAUCGGUAGCCGGCCUGAGAGGGCGGACGGCCACACUGGAACUGAGACACGGUCCAGACUCCUACGGGA
RNAcentral lists this ribosomal RNA (330 nucleotides) under uncultured bacterium. RNAcentral's name for it is "bacterial SSU rRNA". It matches the Rfam family "Bacterial small subunit ribosomal RNA", at positions 32 to 346 of the family's 1533-position model. The record is from RNAcentral.